Molecule: ribosomal RNA, 253 nt
Filed under: uncultured bacterium
Lineage: Bacteria
Description: partial 16S ribosomal RNA
Rfam family: Bacterial small subunit ribosomal RNA
Source: RNAcentral
UACAGAGGUGACAAGCGUUGUUCGGAAUUACUGGGCGUAAAGGGCGCGUAGGCGGCCUACUAAGUCAGACGUGAAAUCCCCCGGCUUAACCUGGGAACUGCGUCUGAUACUGGAAGGCUUGAGUAUGGGAGAGGGAUGUAGAAUUCCAGGUGUAGCGGUGAAAUGCGCAGAUAUCAGGAGGAACACCGAUGGCGAAGGCAGGUCUCUGGGCCACUACUGACGCUGAGAAGCGAAAGCAUGGGGAGCGAACAGG